AACGAACGCUGGCGGCGCGCUUAACACAUGCAAGUCGAACGAGAAGCUGUAGCAAUACAGUUGUAAAGUGGCAAACGGGUGAGUAAUGCGUGGGUAAUCUACCCUAGGGUGGGGAAUAACUCCUCGAAAGGGGAGCUAAUGCCGACAUGUGCGCCAUUCUCGCAAGGGAGUGAUGGAAAGCCGUACCGUGGGUGCGGCGCCCAAGGAUGAGCUCACGUCCUANCAGCUUGUUGGCGGGGUAACGGCCCACCAAGGCUGCGACGGGUAGCUGGUCUGAGAGGACGACCAGCCACACUGGCACUGCGACACGGGCCAGACUCCUACGGGAGGCAGCAGUGAGGAAUAUUGCGCAAUGGACGACAGUCUGACGCAGCGACGCCGCGGUGGGGGAGUGAAGG
RNAcentral lists this ribosomal RNA (398 nucleotides) under uncultured bacterium. Its description in RNAcentral is "bacterial SSU rRNA". It matches the Rfam family "Bacterial small subunit ribosomal RNA", at positions 29 to 414 of the family's 1533-position model. The record is from RNAcentral.